RNAcentral lists this ribosomal RNA (443 nucleotides) under uncultured bacterium. Its description in RNAcentral is "partial 16S ribosomal RNA". It matches the Rfam family "Bacterial small subunit ribosomal RNA", at positions 338 to 795 of the family's 1533-position model. The record is from RNAcentral.
CCUACGGGAGGCAGCAGUGGGGAAUAUUGGGCAAUGGGCGCAAGCCUGACCCAGCAACGCCGCGUGAAGGAAGAAGGCUUUCGGGUUGUAAACUUCUUUUCUGAGGGACGAAGAAAGUGACGGUACCUCAGGAAUAAGCCACGGCUAACUACGUGCCAGCAGCCGCGGUAAUACGUAGGUGGCAAGCGUUAUCCGGAUUUAUUGGGUGUAAAGGGCGUGUAGGCGGGAAAGCAAGUCAGAUGUGAAAACUCAGGGCUCAACCCUGAGCCUGCAUUUGAAACUGUUUUUCUUGAGUACCGGAGAGGUCAUCGGAAUUCCUUGUGUAGCGGUGAAAUGCGUAGAUAUAAGGAAGAACACCAGUGGCGAAGGCGGAUGACUGGACGGCAACUGACGGUGAGGCGCGAAAGCGUGGGGAGCAAACAGGAUUAGAUACCCUUGUAGUC